AUUUGAUAACCAGGGUCUGGGUCUGUGUUUCGGCCACAGCUGCGAGAAUAAAUAUUUCUCUAUCAAAUG
RNAcentral lists this transfer RNA (69 nucleotides) under Cyathocotyle prussica. Its description in RNAcentral is "tRNA-Arg". Lineage: Eukaryota; Metazoa; Platyhelminthes; Trematoda; Diplostomida; Cyathocotylidae. The record is from RNAcentral.